CCUACGGGAGGCAGCAGUGGGGAAUAUUGCACAAUGGGGGGAACCCUGAUGCAGCGACGCCGCGUGGGUGAGGAAGUACUUCGGUAUGUAAAGCCCUAUCAGCAGGGAAGAAAAUGACGGUACCUGACUAAGAAUCCCCGGCUAACUACGUGACAGCAGCCGCGGUAAUACGUAGGGGGCAAGCGUUAUCCGGAUUUACUGGGUGUAAAGGGAGCGUAGACGGCGUGCCAAGUCUGGGGUGAAAUGCCGGGGCUCAACCCCGGGACUGCAUUGGAAACUGGCGUUCUUGAGUGAGCGAGAAGUAUGCGGAAUGCGUGGUGUAGCGGUGAAAUGCAUAGAUAUCACGCAGAACUCCGAUUGCGAAGGCAGCAUACCGGCGCUCAACUGACGCUCAUGCACGAAAGCGUGGGUAUCGAACAGGAUUAGAUACCCUUGUAGUC
This 440-nucleotide ribosomal RNA is filed under the name uncultured bacterium. RNAcentral describes it as "partial 16S ribosomal RNA". It matches the Rfam family "Bacterial small subunit ribosomal RNA", at positions 338 to 795 of the family's 1533-position model. The record is from RNAcentral.